CAGCCGCCACGGUAAUACGAAGGGGGCUAGCGUUGUUCGGAAUUACUGGGCGUAAAGGGCGCGUAGGCGGCCAUUCAAGUUAGAUGUGAAAGCCCUGGGCUCAACCUAGGAAUUGCAUUUGAUACUGUUUGGCUUGAGUUCGGGAGAGGUGAGUGGAAUUCCCAGUGUAGAGGUGAAAUUCGUAGAUAUUGGGAAGAACACCAGUGGCGAAGGCGGCCCACUGGACCGACACUGACGCUGAGGCGCGAAAGCGUGGGGAGCAAACAGGAUUAGAUACCCCUGUAGUCCCUGUCUCUUAUAC
Molecule: ribosomal RNA, 301 nt
Filed under: uncultured bacterium
Lineage: Bacteria
Description: partial 16S ribosomal RNA
Rfam family: Bacterial small subunit ribosomal RNA
Source: RNAcentral